UUGGCUUUUUAUUGGCCUAUUAUUUCCUUGCCACAUCAUUAUGUUUUUCCCAAAAUAUUAAAGACCUUAAUAUUCUUCAAGUCUCCAAGUCUCUCAAAAGAGUCUAGCUUGCUUUCUUAAAGUCUAUUGUCCUUACUCUGAAAUGGUUGUGAAAUUUUAACGAGUUUUCACUUCUAAGGAAAUAGGGAUGUCAAAAUCCUAAAGGGACAAAAAUCAUAAAGCAUGCACAUUUACAAAGCUAAGUAAACACAUAAGCAUAUAUGUAAUUCAAUAAAUUAGCACAUAAGUAUGUAGGUAUAUAAGACCACAAAAAAUAUCAAAUGAACACUUGGACAAGCAAUUUUCAAACAAUAUAUUAUACCCAUGCAUUUUCUAAAAUUUUUCUUCGUUGAAAUUUUUAUUUUUAUUUACAUCGUACGAUGCUGAUUUUACCAUUAUCAAGUAAAGGGCCACAUAAACACUUCGCCAAUGGCAGU
This 476-nucleotide long non-coding RNA is filed under the name Carica papaya (papaya). RNAcentral describes it as "long non-coding RNA (CPAP_LNC004559)". The record is from RNAcentral. Lineage: Eukaryota; Viridiplantae; Streptophyta; Magnoliopsida; Brassicales; Caricaceae.